CAGGGUGCAAUUUCUUUCACUUCAAAGUUUUCAAAGUUGUCUUUUGGGUUUUGCACUUAUUUUGCUAGAGCACCUCAAGAGACUACAGCUGGAUGCUUGUUGAGCAAGUGAAUGCACUCGCUCAUUCCUCUGGUCAACAAACGUUUACUGAGAACCUCUUAGCAGUGGACUAAGUAUAAUAAAGUGAGAAUGAAUCCUGGCUUUUAAUUG
Molecule: long non-coding RNA, 210 nt
Filed under: Bos taurus (domestic cattle)
Lineage: Eukaryota; Metazoa; Chordata; Mammalia; Artiodactyla; Bovidae
Description: long non-coding RNA NONBTAT009387
Source: RNAcentral